RNAcentral lists this ribosomal RNA (588 nucleotides) under Monocoryne bracteata. RNAcentral's name for it is "partial 16S ribosomal RNA". It matches the Rfam family "Bacterial large subunit ribosomal RNA", at positions 1833 to 2597 of the family's 2925-position model. Lineage: Eukaryota; Metazoa; Cnidaria; Hydrozoa; Anthoathecata; Candelabridae. The record is from RNAcentral.
ACCCCUACAAAAAUUAGAGGCGAUACCUGCCCGCUGAGAGAACGAGAAUAAUAUUAAUUAUAUUAAAUUUACCUUAAAAGGACGCAGUAACUUUAACUGUGAUAAUGUAGCAUAAUCAAUUGCCAUUUAAUUAAUGGAUAGUAUGAAUGGUCAAACGAGUAUUUAAUUGUCUCAAAUAAGAAUUUUUAAAAUUAAAAUAAUAGUUAAGAUUCUAUUUAUUAUUGUAAGACGAAAAGACCCUAUAGAACUUGACUACAAUCUGCUUAUAAAACUAUAAAAAUAUUUAUUAAGUAGACUGAUAGUUUAGUUGGGGCAACUAUUUUUUAUAAUUAACAAAAAUAAGCAAUAUUAAUAAUAUAAUUUAUUGUAUAAAUAAUAAUUUUAACAAUUAUAAAAUAGGCUAUUAUGACCCGUUAUAAUUUAAAAAUAAAAAUAACUAUCAAUAAAUAAAAGUUACCUUAGGGAUAACAGGAUAAUUUUACCCCAAAGACCAUAUUAAAGAUAAAGUUUAUCACCUCUAUGUUGAAUUAAGAUGUCCCUAUAGUGUAGAAGCUAUAAAUGGUAGGUCUGUUCGACCUUUAAAAUCUU